RNAcentral lists this small RNA (567 nucleotides) under Pongo abelii (Sumatran orangutan). Its description in RNAcentral is "retained intron". Lineage: Eukaryota; Metazoa; Chordata; Mammalia; Primates; Hominidae. The record is from RNAcentral.
AUAUAUAAAAUAAAAUCACUGCUCAGCAGUAGUCAGUUUAUAAACCAGAAUCCAUGAGACUGAGUUCUAUUUUUUGUGCAGACUGCAACAGCCUGAAUGGGGUCCUGCAGUGUACCUGUGAAGACAGCUACACCUGGUUUCCUCCCUCAUGCCUGGAUCCCCAGAACUGCUACCUUCACACGGCUGGAGCACUACCAAGCUGUGAAUGUCAUCUCAACAACCUCAGCCAGAGUGUCAAUUUCUGUGAGAGAACAAAGAUUUGGGGCACUUUCAAAAUUAAUGAAAGGUUUACAAAUGACCUUUUGAAUUCAUCUUCUGCUAUAUACUCCAAAUAUGCAAAUGGAAUUGAAAUUCAACUUAAAAAAGCAUACGAAAGAAUUGAAGGUUUUGAGUCGGUUCAGGUCACCCAAUUUCGAAAUGGAAGCAUCAUUGCUUGGUAUGAAGUUGUUGGUUCCAGCAGUGCAUCUGAACUGCUGUCAGCCAUUGAACAGGUUGCCGAGAAGGCUAAGACAGCCCUUCACAAGCUGUUUCCAUUAGAAGACAGCUCUUUCAGAGUGUUCGGAAAAG